RNAcentral lists this non-coding RNA (219 nucleotides) under Sporobacter termitidis. RNAcentral also lists the same sequence under 1 other name. The record is from RNAcentral. Lineage: Bacteria; Bacillati; Bacillota; Clostridia; Eubacteriales; Oscillospiraceae.
AAAUUAAAUAUUAUUUCAAGUGUCCCCUUUGGUGUAUGGCCUUUGGGGAAGAAUAGGGAACCGUGUGCAAAUCACGGACGGUACCGCCGCUGUAAACGCUGAAGGGCGCGCUCGUCGACGAAAGUCGGUCACUGGGAAACUGGGAAGGCAGAGCACGUGCCGCAGGAGGAAUCUCCUAUAAGCGUCAGUCAGAAGACCUGCUCUGAAAUCGCCUUUGUU